RNAcentral lists this ribozyme (71 nucleotides) under unclassified sequences. RNAcentral's name for it is "Twister_sister_ribozyme". It matches the Rfam family "Twister_sister_ribozyme". The record is from Rfam by way of RNAcentral.
GAGCAGGGCUAGGCCCAGUCCCGUGCAAGCCGGGACCGCCCCGAAAGGGGCGCGGCGCUCAACCUGCAUCA